Long non-coding RNA from Protopterus annectens (West African lungfish), 279 nucleotides. RefSeq lists it as uncharacterized. Lineage: Eukaryota; Metazoa; Chordata; Ceratodontiformes; Protopteridae. The transcript is spliced from 3 exons. The record is from RefSeq and is a predicted model, not a curated record.
CCUCACCCAAUUUAAGGAACACAAGUUAUCCCACCCUGUGGAGCCUACUCGUGGAGAAAUAAUAGAAACAGUAAAACCCUCCUGACCACCUUUAGGUCUGGGUUCUUGCAUCCCAUCCAAACCUGCUACUCUCCUCACCCAAUUUAAGGAACACAAGUUAUCCCACCCUGUGGAGCCUACUCGUGGAGAAAUAAUAGAAACAGUAAAACCCUCCUGACCACCUUUAGGUCUGGGUUCUUGCAUCCCAUCCAAACCUGCUACUCUCCUCACCCAAUUUAA